RNAcentral lists this ribosomal RNA (253 nucleotides) under uncultured bacterium. RNAcentral's name for it is "partial 16S ribosomal RNA". It matches the Rfam family "Bacterial small subunit ribosomal RNA", at positions 524 to 776 of the family's 1533-position model. The record is from RNAcentral.
UACGGGGGGGGCAAGCGUUGUUCGGAAUUACUGGGCGUAAAGGGCUCGUAGGUGGCCAACUAAGUCGGACGUGAAAUCCCUCGGCUUAACCGGGGAACUGCGUCCGAUACUGGUUGGCUUGAGUUUGGGAGAGGGAUGCGGAAUUCCUGGUGUAGCGGUGAAAUGCGCAGAUAUCAGGAGGAACACCAGUGGCGAAAGCGGCUCUCUGGGGGCAACCUGACGCUGAGGCGCGAAAGCGUGGGGAGCGAACCGG